GCUGGCGGCAUGCUUAACACAUGCAAGUCGAACGGUAACAGCAGAAGCUUGCUUCUGGCUGACGAGUGGCGGACGGGUGAGUAACGCGUAGGAAUCUGCCUGGCAGCGGGGGACAACCUGGAGAAAUUCAGGCUAAUACCGCAUACGCCCUACGGGGGAAAGAUGGGGAUCUUCGGACCUGUCACUGUCAGAUGAGCCUGCGUUAGAUUAGCUUGUUGGUGGGGUAAUGGCCUACCAAGGCGACGAUCUAUAGCUGGUCUGAGAGGAUGAUCAGCCACACUGGGACUGAGACACGGCCCAGACUCCUACGGGAGGCAGCAGUGGGGAAUAUUGGACAAUGGGCGCAAGCCUGAUCCAGCAAUGCCGCGUGUGUGAAGAAGGCCUUAGGGUUGUAAAGCACUUUCAAUUGGGAAGAAAAGCUCUGGGUAAAUACCCCGGAGUCUUGACGGUACCAAUACAAGAAGCACCGGCUAACUCCGUG
RNAcentral lists this ribosomal RNA (481 nucleotides) under uncultured bacterium. RNAcentral's name for it is "bacterial SSU rRNA". It matches the Rfam family "Bacterial small subunit ribosomal RNA", at positions 35 to 507 of the family's 1533-position model. The record is from RNAcentral.